This 724-nucleotide long non-coding RNA is filed under the name Physcomitrium patens. Its description in RNAcentral is "long non-coding RNA (PPAT_LNC013799)". The record is from RNAcentral. Lineage: Eukaryota; Viridiplantae; Streptophyta; Bryopsida; Funariales; Funariaceae.
CUCCACCGCUAAAUAAAUUAGAAUCCAUUCUAAUUCAAUAACUAGAACUAUCUCUUGUGCCACUUUACAACUUGACUCCCCAAUUUCGUGAAUUACAUCCACUGUAUUGAUAUUUUGUGCCAACAAAUUUUGUUCUCUCUACGAAGGCACUAGCAUUGAUAUAGGACUUUCUUCUACUGGCGGUAUUUGAUGCAAUGUAUGCAUAAUUAUAGCAUACACAUAAUUGAUGGUGAGCAAUCUGACUGGUGUAAAAACUGCAACAACUGUGCAUUCUAAAAGUCUUUUAUUCUUCUCGACAUCUAAUAGAUAUUUAACUUCAUUGGCUCCAUAUUAGUAAUGAUUACCACAGAAGGUGGUUUUGAUGCGCAUCUAGCUCUCAUAUUUUGGCCACUAUCCUCUUUGUCUGUAACUUGCUUUACACUUUCAAUUGCCAUGACACUCCCUCUCUCAAACUCUUAAUUGGAACUACUACUCUCGAAUACACAAAAAAUACAAAAAAUGGCAAUCUUAGAAAAAAAACAAUCCAAAACGACACCACAGAAUGACCUCUAACUGGUGCCCUACUCCUAUUUUUUUACUACCUAGUGAUAAUGACAACAUGUUAUCUAUACUUUUUGUUUUUCACUUCUAUCUCAUCUAAUACAUUAGUAUUUAUUAACUAUCUUUUCAGCCACCUCUACACCCUAACACACUUAUAGCAUACCUAGGUCUAUCUUGAGUCCAU